CCCAAAGACAACAUUUCCUCCCAGGCCUCACAUCCUGGCCCCAGGAGAUAUAACUACAGUCCCCUUUGCCAGGGAGCAAGGCCAGACUGGGGCUGGGGAAGCUAUGCGGGUGCAGAAGGGACAUGUGGCUUGAGGGGGUAGAGGAGGGACAAGUACAGAGUCGUGGGAUCUGUUCCUUGCCCUCUAGGAGGAGAUGGUAUGGUUUUCAUGCAUUCCAGCUUGUGCACAGUGGUUUCUUUCAUUUUCUUGAGAUCUUUGGAAAUGGUCCUAAAGGGGAAAAAAAUGAACUCAGGAAGCAAGACUGAAAAUGUGUGCAAUUGUAUGAUUUAAAAGAUUUAAAAAAAAACCAAAAACCUCCACGGUACUUUUGAUUAUCACAAGACCAGAAAAUAUAGUGCUUUCCUGAGAAUGUUUUGGUAAUACGACUUUAAAACAAGCAACAUUAAGUAGAAGGUGAGAAUUCAAGUGUUUUAGGUGCUAAUGGCUGAACCACAUCAGCUCUGUGAUCCAUUGCAUGUGACUGUUAUUAUUAUUCAUUUGUAGCUGUCUGGGUGUCAGCAUAGAUAAAACUUUUGUUACUAUUUCAUUUUAUGUCAGAAUUUGAAAUACAGAACAUGGAACUCAAAUGGCUUUGAUGGGUUAUAACUAAGUUGGAUUGGCUGAAGAGCAUCACCUGCUUGAAUGUGAGUCCUCUGACUGCAGAUUGCCACUUUGGAUCUCUCUUCUUACUUUCUGAAGAGGCUUACUGAAAGGUAAUAUCUGAUCUAUCCCCAGGCAUAAGCAUCUGUCUUCCUUUAGGCCUCUCUGUAUCCAGAGUAGGUUCUGAGAGUUUAGAGCAAGCACCCAGACCCAAAGAGCUAUCCAAAGUGUUUUAUGUGCAGAGAGAGGGAAAUGUGAAAGCUCAAAUACCCUUAGUCCCCUUCCACCCAGGCUGAAGAAACGUCAGAACUGAGACAUGAAUGCCCGAGGAAUGUUCUAUUUAAACACCAACACUGAAACUCAGAUCAACUACAUAUCUGCUGAUUUUAAUAUUUAGCUGGGUUUCCUUCCAUUCCACUUCAAGUUCACAAGUUUAGAGCCCUCUUCCAGUUAUGAUCACUCAUUGCAUUGUUUGACUUUUGAACAUAUAUUUUAGAAAUUACUGAUUCAGAGUAUUUUAAAAAUUCCGUUCUAUACAACUCUGCUACAAUGGCAUUCUAGAAAACUUUGCUUGAGGUUAAAAUUUGAAGGUAUCUUAUUUGGUGGGAAAGCAUUUAAUAUUUGAUACUUUCUAUGAAUUUUUCAAGUAAGCAUGCCCAGGCUAAAACCAAAUAGUUACAAGUUGGGAAACGUGUUUCUUGGAAAUAUAGUACUGACCAGUUUAACCUUCUCUUUAGAAGGAUACUGAGGCCAGUGCAUCACCUCAUGAACUUAAAGCAUUUGUUUUCAGUUUAUCAUGGUUAGCUUUUGAAUGUAAUAUGAUACUAACUUGGACUUAUUGGUAAACAUUCAAUUUUGAAGAAGGUAAUUUUCUUUUGUUUUUACUUUCAGAAUCACUGAAUUCAUUAUUUUUAAGAUAUAUUUAUAUUCAUUAUACUUAAGUAAAACUUUGAUUGUUUCAGAAAUUUACCAUUCCAAUUUUCACAUUCCAGAUCUGGUUUCUAGGAAGACAGUAGUGUGAACCUAAUUAUGCCCUUUUGCCUCUGCCUGGCCCACUGCUUCCUUCCUCUUCCUAGGACCACUGGGUCUUUAGUUCCACCAUCCUCCGGGCUCUUGAAUAUAUAGCAUCAUUUGGCAGCUUUCAUACAUGAAGAGCUGAGGUUAUUUUAUUUUAUUUUAGCAGAGAAAAACAAAUAGCGGAAGAUGUGCAAACAGCAGCCCCAGUGAGGAGGAGAAGGAAAGAGAGAAGGUAAGGGCUGCAUCUAUGGAAUUUCUCAUGAGAUGAUGAGACAUGAGCUACUGGAAAAUUUUCUGUGCUUUUCUGUGUCUGUGUCUCUUCUAGCCCAUGCUUCUGCAGAGGGCACACAGUAACACAAGUUUUCAGUGCCAGUGAAUGUAUAAAAUAGAGAACACUCUGAGCAUGUCUCCUCACAAAAAAAGUGGCUGGACUUGUUUUUCCCUCCUUUAUAGUAUACCCUCCCUGUGCCCAGCUCAAACAGGAACAAACUUCAUGAGUUAUCCUGUAAAUCCCAAGAUUGAGAAAGUCCCUCAAUAUUUUCUUUUGAAGAUCUCCAAUAUGAGAAGCAAUAAGGUAGUCGGGAAAUGGGUUGGGUACUGGAAAAACCGGAGUCCUAGUUAGUGUUCUCUUAAUAGAGUUUGGGCAAAAAUUUACCUGUCUCUGUUUUCUUAUUUGUAAAACAGGCAAACUAGAUGUAUAUCUAAGUAAGUAUUUUCUCUUGGUCCCCAGCUUCUAAUAGUGACCUGGAUCAUAAGUAAUUAAAGAAAACAAACAAGACAGUGCUGUAGAAAACCGGACAGUGAAGAACAUAAUCUCAGUUAAGGUAUUAUUGGUACCACAUCUAGAAAGGCCAGUGAAUCUGAUGUGUCUUCAUGAACAAGCAUUUCCCCUGCUCUAUAUUUAGAGCUGUGUCAUGGAAUUGGAAUGAAUACGCCUUGGAGUUUUCUUAGCUCUACUUGGGGACACAUAGUUUUGUAAACUUACUGUUAUAAACCAAUUUUCCUGGAAGGGACUUCAGCAUGUGGAUGACCCCGUGGGUAUUCAGUUAUUGGCUGGUGUCUUUCCUCUGAAUCAGAGCUAAAAAAUAUAUUUUAAAUAAACACUUGUUUUCUGGCUUGUUGAAGGUCUUACAUUUUUUAAAAAAAAUAUUUCUCUUUGCAUAAUAUGAAACCUGUAUAUUAGGUCAAAUUUGGGUACUUUGAUCUAUUUGCAUGUAUACCAAUGUAGUCUGUAGACACACACGUGACUCUCGUUGGUUUACUGGGAAUUGUAUUGAGCUGGCAAUGCCUUUCUGUGUCCCUCACUCAUUUGCUUCCAAAGAUAGAAUACUGCUGCAGAUUAAAGGAUAAGACUAUUUUUGAUCUCAACACCAAAGAACUCUCUCUGUGCAAAGAAACCAAGUAGACCCAAGGCCAUAGUUGUAUAAUCAUAAAAAAGAGUGGCUGAAUUGUUUUUGUCCCUCUCCUCACUAAUGUGGGCACCAAGAUACUUUGCUGAAGGCCUUUGAUUACUUAUGUACCUUGAUGCCAACUUUACAAGGACAAGGACCAGUUGAAUUAGGGAGUUAGUUGUUUCUAGUUCUCUAAGUAGAGAUUCAGCCUCACAUGAUAAUAACUCGCAAAAAAGUUCAAUUUGACAACCUGUAAAUCUUAAAUUUAGUUUAUCUCAAAUUCAUGUCCUGGUCCCAUUUAGGAAAAAUGGGCUUGUUUUCUCUUUUCUUUUCUCAUUUGAAUUGUUCUUUUCUGUCCAAACCCAAAACCUUAACUCCACCUCUGAAUAUUAUUUUUUUCUUUUAGAUGUUAGCAGUAAUCUAAACAGGCUGUAAUUUUUUUCUCUUAUAGUCUGAUUUUUAUCUUAUAUCUGUUACACCAAUUAGUAGAGGUUCUCAGAUUUUCAUACCUAAACAGGGGAGUAACCCUCCAAAUGAGUUCCCUUUUCCACUAUACCUAACAUACACACACACACACACACACACUUUUUGUAUAGACCUAAUACUACUAUUCUUUGAUACAGGACUCUUUUCUAGUUACUCUUCAAUGACUAAUGCCUUAACCUCAUUUAAAAAAAUAUUUUCUAGCUGCAGAUGGACACAAUACCUGUAUUUAUUUAUUCAUUUUUAUGUGGUGCGGAGGAUUGAACCCAGUGCCUCACACAUGUGAGGCAGGCACUCUACCACUGAGCUACAGCCCCAGCCCCCUUAACCUUAUUUUUUCACCCAGAAUGAGACUCUGAUACAUUUCAACUCACUUUCAUCAGCAUGUUUAUUUUGAGACCAUGAAGAAACCAAUAAACACUUUUCCCUUGGAUACUAAUUUAACCUUUGGCAGUUACUGUAUGCUUCAUCAUUCCUAUUUGAGAAAGUAUAAAACAUUCAGAGAAGUCUUCUAGGAGUUAUUAGAAUUAUUAAAAUGAUCAUAUGAGGAUGAUAAAGCUGCUCAAGAAGUUGAGUAUGGAGGUAGAUAAUAAUAAUAGUAGUAAUAGCAGUAAUAUUGGUGUAGUUAUCAAUGAUUGUCACUAUGUGCCAGAAAAUAUUCUGUACUUUUUUUUUUCAUUGACUUAAUUCUACAGCAACACUCUGAGGUUGGUCCUUGGUAUCUCACAGAUGUGAAAACAGAGGUUUUGACAGGCUCAGUACAAAGAGGUGCAUGCUUUAAUAAAGUCCCAAAGGAUUGCAAAAUCCCAGCAGCAGAGAUAAGCUAUCCAGCUGGAAGAAAGUUGUAAAAAGAAGUCAUAAAAUAGAGGAAAAUGACUGGGGAUUUUUCAUUUAAUUAAUUAAAAAUGUGACAUUGUUCAGUCUUAUAUAACUAUAGUUCUAUGAGUUCAUGAUUGUGUUUUUAACUGGGUGAUCAGCUCCUUGAGGAUCAAUAUUAAUUCUUUUUGUCUCCUGUAUAAGGGCUAACCUAGUGCUUUUCACAAAGUGGAAAUACUUUACUUAAAAAAUACUUUUUCUUGUUUCGAGCAGUGAGAUCCUGUGUUUCAGCUUUUGUGGUUGCUACUGUUCUAGAUACAUAUCUGAAGGUAGUCUGCUUAUAUGGAAAUAGGUUAGUAUACACUAACUGUAUAUAUAAUAUAUUUAUUUCUGUUUAAGAAUGUUUAAACAAUCUUAAAAAUGGGAUGGGAGGAAUCUUUGGAAAAUAAAAAAAAGAAUAGGUUAAGACUCUCCUCCCCAUGGACAAAAUAGGUUAGUAUAUACAUUUAUAUGCUAAUAUAAAUGUAAAUUAUGAUAUAUACCAAUAUAAAAUAAAUUAUGAUAUUUUCUGUUUUUAGUUUAUCAUGAAAUAUUUUUGGACCUGUCAUUCUCUGUUUAUUCCAAUCAUAAUUAUUUGCUAAGCAGUGUUUGGUUUACAAUUGAAAGGAUUAGAGCUGGUAUAGGUAAGGUGAUGUGAGUUGCCAAAGAUUUUCACAGAAUCAUGGUUCUCUGGAGUUCCUCAUUUUGGUAAGUGUGUCUUUGUUAGAGUUUCAGUGACUUUCAUUGGAAGGAUUAAGUAGGAUUAAAUAAAAAAAACAAAGUGAUUAUAACAGUCCAAUACAUCAUAGUGCUAUGUAAGUCUUAAAAGUCAUUGUUGUCAUCUUCACCAUCAUCACCAUCAACAUCAUCUUCACUCAUGUCCUUCCAUUUCUAGUUGUCAGUAAACAUCACUGUUGAAAAUGGUUCCUAAACUAACAUCAAUGUUGCACUUGGUGGUGUGGCCUUAGUAGAGGAUUUACAACCUUAGAUUUCAUACACUUAGUGGAUACACUUCAUUAAUGUACUACUGGUACCAUUGUUUCUCAUGCAUCUUAUGUAACAUUUUUGAGGGGCAGUAUAGUGUCCUCUUCUUGAAGAAAGUAUGUGAUACUCCCUGCACAAACCUCCUUUUACCUCCAACUCGAUCUUAUACUAUUCAAUAUCCUUGAUUCAAAACUGGAUUCUAUUUACAUGCCAUUUAAUAAAUUCAACUAUUUUUUUAAGUUCAUAUUAAAGUUAGUGAAAAUUAAUAGUCCUGAAACAUUAGAACUAAAAUUAAAUUUGUGGAUGAUAAGCAACAAUUUUUUACAAAUUAUUUUAUUCUUUAAUUUAAAUACACCUAACAAUUAUUUUUUUAAAAAAGAAAGAAGUUAUUUGUUAUUUAAAUAAAAAAAACAAAGUUUAGGUGAAACAUUUUGUUAGUUAUCCAUCUCUUCUUUCCGAGUCAAAUGACACAUAUUUGAACAGGGAUAAAUGUUCACUUGAAUUACAACCAUUUAAACAGAUUUAUCAAGAAAGCUGCAUGUGCAGAAAUAUUUACUUGACUUUAUUUUUAUGAAUUCCUAAUAUAGCCUUGAGCGCAGACACUUCUCAACACAUGAUUCUUUUAAUUCAAGUUUUCUGUAAUUCAUAUUUUUCUAGUAAAAGUUAUUGACUAUAAUAAUAAGAAUUUAAAAUAAAUGGAAUAUUUACAAAAUAUUUGUGUGGGUUGAUCACACAGGAAUCAUUCAUUUUUAAUAUUUGAUCAAUCCCAAUAUUACUGAGCAUAUACCCUGAAUUUAAAUGUUAUACUCACACAGCUAAGUUUAAGAAAGGGGAGGGUGGUUUAGGAUAUAACUCAAUGGUAGAGUACUUGCCUAGCAUGCGUGAAACUCUCUGUUUGAUCCCCAAUACUUAAAGAAAAAAUGAAGUGACAGUUAACAUAUUUUCUUUUUUUUUUAUUUUCCAAAGAUUCCUCCCAUCCCAUUUUUAAGAUAGUUUAAACAUUCUUAAACAGAUCUCUGAAUAUUCAAAGAAAUACAAUGAAAAUAUUGGGGAGUGUUCUAGUUAGUUAGUUUUUGUUGUUGUUGUUGUUUGCUGCUGUGACCAAAAGACAUGACAAGAACAAUUUUAGAAGAGGAAAUGUUUAUUUGGGGGCUCACAGUUUCAGAGGUUUGUUUUUUUUUUUUUUUCCAUAGAUGACCAACUCCAUUGCCCUGGGCCAGAUAUGAGGAAGAACAUCGUGAUAGAAGGGCAUGACAGAGGAAAGCACCUCAGGACAUGACACCAGGAAGCAGAGUCAGAGAAAGAGAGAGAGAGAGAGAGAGAGAGACUCUCCUCCCAAUGGACAAAAUACAUACCCCAAUGACACAUCCCAAAUCACCCACCUCCUCUAGCCACACCAUAUAUGCCUACAUUUACAACCCAGUUAAUCUGUAUCAGUGGAUUAAUACAUUGAUUAGGUUAAGGCUCUUAUUUCAUCUCUAAACCCCCUUGCAGGGUCUCACACAUGAACUUUGGGUGGACACUUCAUAUCUAAACCAUAACAGGGAGGCAACAUGUUUUCCUAGUCCUUCAUUUAUUAUAAACUUUAAUUCGUAGUCAGGAAAAAGUGGAAGAAUAAUAUUUUGGAAUAAAGUUGAAAUGAUUUAAUACUUUUCAUUUUUAAAUGUAUUGUGCUUACUUCUCUCAUAUUGCUACUAAUUAAAGUGUAAGAAUCUCAGAAACAGAGAAGCAUUCCCAUAGUACUUUCUUGAACAACAGUGUCACUGAAACACAAAGGAAUGGUAAGGUAAUUUUGAUGAAAAUUUCUGAUUGUGUGCUACAUAUAGUUCUGAAAAAUGUUUAUAAUUUUAAUAAAUAAUAGUAUCAAGUUACUUCGUGGAUUAAUUGAUAUAAUAGACCCACUGGUUACUUAUAUUUUAAUUGAUACAUGAUCUAAGCAAAUCAUAAUGGAAGUCUAUAGCAAUAAGAACAGAGUUUCACAAAAAUACAUAUUCAACAACAGGUUUAAAAGUGUUCAGAGUAACUUAACAUUCAAUUUUGUUUCUCUUUCUUUCUUUCUUUCUUUUUUUUGGUUUGUUUGUUUAAACUAUAUAUUUUAUUAAUUAUUCAAGAAAUUAUAAAUAUAAAUUUUAAAAUGUGAAAGGAUGACAUGCAGAUC
Molecule: long non-coding RNA, 7527 nt
Filed under: Marmota monax (woodchuck)
Lineage: Eukaryota; Metazoa; Chordata; Mammalia; Rodentia; Sciuridae
Source: RNAcentral